UACGGAGGGGGCUAGCGUUGUUCGGAAUUACUGGGCGUAAAGCGCGCGUAGGCGGACCUGCAAGUCGGGGGUGAAAGCCCGAGGCUCAACCUCGGAACUGCCUUCGAUACUGCGGGUCUCGAGUCCGGGAGAGGUGAGUGGAAUUCCUAGUGUAGAGGUGAAAUUCGUAGAUAUUAGGAAGAACACCUGUGGCGAAAGCGGCUCACUGGACCACAACUGACGCUGAUGCGCGAAAAGCUAGGGGGAGCAAACAGGG
This 256-nucleotide ribosomal RNA is filed under the name uncultured bacterium. RNAcentral's name for it is "partial 16S ribosomal RNA". It matches the Rfam family "Bacterial small subunit ribosomal RNA", at positions 524 to 777 of the family's 1533-position model. The record is from RNAcentral.